Molecule: long non-coding RNA, 1966 nt
Filed under: Homo sapiens (human)
Lineage: Eukaryota; Metazoa; Chordata; Mammalia; Primates; Hominidae
Description: HSALNT0338619
Source: RNAcentral
GUGACGUCAAGUUUAGCCUAAAGCUGCCUCCUUACAUAUUUUAGGGUCAGCCUGAAGACCUCUCCACACUUAGUGACUGUCACCUAACUGGGCGUGCCAACAGACCUAACCCACCCUUGCCCCAAGCAGCCGCAUCUCAGCGGAUCACAGCAGCCAGGCGUCACCAUGCACCGUGGCCCGGUUCAAACUGUGUUUAAAUGAGGCCCACGCCAAGCGGUGCCCGUCUGGCUGUUUCUGUGCCUCCGUCCAGUUUUCUUGGCAUCACUGUCCUUUCUCUGUCCACAAAUCUAACCGGACCACGCGACAGCGACGGAGCCGCCCUGAGCCUAUGCUGGGUCCAGGGCUGCCCCAUUCACCAACAGUCAUUUGCUCAAUGAAGCUCUGUGACAUUCAGUUUGUCUGAAGUUUGUCUUUUAACAUUGGUGAUAGAGUGAGAAGUCUGUGAGGAGAAGGGAUAUGAGAUGUUCCAAAAUAUUAUUACAUCACAAGCAAACGGAUUUCUGACUUCUGCACUCUCCAGUGUGCCCAGGACCUGCCCGCUCCGAGUGGACCCGACAGCACGGGGGUGGCCUGACGCCGGCUGAGAUGCAGAAUCAGGCCUCUGAGCUACUGAGCUGGAAUCUGCCUUUUGGCCGGACCCGGUUGAUUGGAACCGCGUUCAUUUGAGGAAUGCUCCCUGCGACCAGAGCUCCACCAGGACACUCCUUCCCUCCGCCGGCCACGUUUGCAGGGAGCCCCUGAGAGGCAGCGGCAGCCCGGAUGCUGAAUCCCAUUCGCCCCGGUCAUUUCCGGAGCGUCUUCCAGCCCGUUCCCCGCCAUGACAGCGACGUGUGCUUUGAGCUCAGUCCACAGCAAAGACCACCUUGGUUCUUGUCCCGCCGCAACCACAUCCGAAGAAAGGGGUCAGGUAUUCUAGGCGUACGGGGACUGAUAAAUUCCAAAAAUAUGUUGCCUAGAAAAGAUUGUUAAAAAUAUAAAGGCAAGUUUUAUUCAUUAAUGUUCCCUUGCGCUGUCUGUGAAGAAAGGUAGGUUAAAGAGGUACUUCGAAGCAAAUCUGUACCAGGAAAAUAGAAUUUGUUUUCACAUCUUUUGAAAGAUAAGUGAAAUUCCUUCAGAGUCCACACCCAUGCUUUUAUAAACCUCUGAUACACUAACAAAUCCAAAGAAAAAUUGAAAACAAGCGAGAAAAAGGAGACAGAAAAUGCACAAGAUACACCGCCCUUUUUGUUUGUUUGUGAUUCAGGGCUCAGGAUUGACUGGGUCCUCGGGAGGGGACUCGAGGGCAGAAGGAUCUAUUAAUCUUACAACUAUGUGUUUCAUUUUCCAAGUGGUCAGUUUUUUAGGUUACUUUAUGAAAAACUGAAAUGGAACACAGAAUAUGAACAAUUUCUCAGGGUAAGAGCAGCUAGAUGUAAAAAUAACAUAAUGCAAUUAAAGAAGAAAUCUUCCAGCAAAUAGAACCCCAUUUCGGGGAUUUUCACCGUGGGCGUGAGGGUCACACAAGACUGAAGCCCGCCCAGGAGCAGGCGAGGUCACUGCAGGUGGUCAGUUACAGAGCUCUGCGUCAUAGCCCUCUGGCCCCAGACAAAAUUCACUCAUCUAUACAUUUGCUUGAAAAUGCAUUAUUUGAUAUUCAUUUUGUAUACUUAAAUACAAAAUGAAAUGUAACCUGAUAUUGAAAAUAAAAACUCCAGGCAACGUCUACAUUUCUAUGUAUUUAGUCUUUUCAAGGUCUACAUUUUAAAAGCAAGAAAUGAACAAAGUUAGGAAUACAUUAUUACUCUGGCAGGAAAAUUAGACGGAUUGAUGAAGUGGGUUCUGUCUAUUGUUAUUUAUCCUACUAGAAAUUAAACUAAAAAAACUUAAAAUGUUUUUAUUCUUUAAUUAAAAGCACAAUAGUAAAUCCAUUACAUGCCAACAUAAAUAACGUGUAAUGAAAAAUAAAUGUAAUUUUUGAACCAAACCA